GACGAACCGUGCGAACGUUGUUCGGAAUCACUGGGCUUAAAGCGCGUGUAGGCGGGAGGGCACGUCCGUCGCUGAAAUCCCCCGGCUCAACCGGGGAACGGGCGCGGAUACGACCUUCCUGGAGGGGCGUAGGGGGACCUGGAACUUCCGGUGGAGCGGUGAAAUGCGUUGAGAUCGGAAGGAACGCCCGUGGCGAAAGCGAGGUCCUGGACGCCUACUGACGCUGAGACGCGAAAGCCAGGGGAGCGAACGGG
RNAcentral lists this ribosomal RNA (254 nucleotides) under uncultured bacterium. Its description in RNAcentral is "partial 16S ribosomal RNA". It matches the Rfam family "Bacterial small subunit ribosomal RNA", at positions 524 to 776 of the family's 1533-position model. The record is from RNAcentral.